Molecule: ribosomal RNA, 174 nt
Filed under: Triticum aestivum (bread wheat)
Lineage: Eukaryota; Viridiplantae; Streptophyta; Magnoliopsida; Poales; Poaceae
Description: partial small subunit ribosomal RNA
Source: RNAcentral
AUGCUCUCCAAUGGCCUGCUCAUGUCUUGGGAGAUUUGGAAAGAGCGUAAUGGAAGGGUUUUCCGUAACACCGCCACUACAACGAUGAUGCUCAUCGUGAAGAUAAAAGAGGAGGCCCAUUUUUGGGCUAUUGCCAGUGCCACCCACUUGAGUAUUGUAAUGCCGCGAGAGUAG